AAUAUAAUCCCAAAUGAAUAAACAUCUGAUUUUGGAGUAAGCUCUCCUGAGGUAAGAAACUCGGGAUCCAUGUAUGGGAUAGUGCCUUUGGGGACAGUUCUCCAACAUAUGCUUGAGCCUUCAUUUUGAGAAAGUUGAUGACUGAUUCCAAAGUCACUUAGUUUACUCACAAAAUUGGCAUCAAGUAGUAUGUUAGCAGGUUUUAGAUCGGCGUGCACUAUGCAGUGGGGUUUACUGGAGUGAAGAAAGAUAAGGACAGAGCAUAA
This 266-nucleotide unclassified non-coding RNA is filed under the name Hevea brasiliensis (rubber tree). Lineage: Eukaryota; Viridiplantae; Streptophyta; Magnoliopsida; Malpighiales; Euphorbiaceae. The record is from RNAcentral.